UUUUUCACCACAACUAUAUUU
Molecule: non-coding RNA, 21 nt
Filed under: Caenorhabditis elegans
Lineage: Eukaryota; Metazoa; Nematoda; Chromadorea; Rhabditida; Rhabditidae
Source: RNAcentral